UCUAUAAAGAUCGUGUUCUACAAAAUCAAGUAACCAUUAAUUUUCAGUUAUUGCAUGUUAUCUCUUCCUUAAAAUUUAUUUAUUUUGUAUUUUAUAUUUUUUCUUUACUACUAUUAUUAUUGUCGUAUUUUAUUUUUAAGCUUUUGUUUGUAUAAUUAUGGAGGUCUACUCUAACGGCAGAACACACCCACCCCCACCCCAUAUAGA
This 207-nucleotide long non-coding RNA is filed under the name Capsicum annuum. RNAcentral describes it as "long non-coding RNA (CANN_LNC008132)". Lineage: Eukaryota; Viridiplantae; Streptophyta; Magnoliopsida; Solanales; Solanaceae. The record is from RNAcentral.